GAUUGCCUCAGUAACGGCGAAGUGAAGCGGCAACAGCUCAAAUUUGAAAUCUGGCAGCCUCUGGGCCGUCCGAGUUGUAAUUUGAAGAGGAUGCUUUUGGCGAGGCGCCUUCCGAGUGCCCUGGAACGGGACGCCACAGAGGGUGAGAGCCCCGUAUGGUUGGACGCCGAGCCUCUGUAAAGCUCCUUCGACGAGUCGAGUAGUUUGGGAAUGCUGCUCAAAAUGGGAGGUAAACCCCUUCUAAAGCUAAAUACUGGCCAGAGACCGAUAGCGCACAAGUAGAGUGAUCGAAAGAUGAAAAGCACUUUGAAAAGAGAGUUAAAUAGCACGUGAAAUUGUUGAAAGGGAAGCGCUUGCGACCAGACUUGUGCCCGUCGAAUCAGUCGCCUCUCGCGGGCGGCGCACUUCGGCGGGCUCAGGCCAGCAUCAGUUCGCUGCAGGGGGAGAAAGGCGGCGGGAAUGUGGCUCUUCGGAGUGUUAUAGCCCGCCGCGCAAUACCCCUCGGCGGACUGAGGACCGCGCAUCUGCAAGGAUGCUGGCGUAAUGGUCGUCAGCGACCCGUCUUGAAACACGGACCAAGGAGUCGUCCUAAUAUGCGAGUGUUCGGGUGUAAAACCCCUGCGCGUAAUGAAAGUGAACGGAGGUGAGAGCUUCGGCGCAUCAUCGACCGAUCCUGAUGUUCUCGGAUGGAUUUGAGUAAGAGCAUAUUGGGCCGGACCCGAAAGAAGGUGAACUAUGCCUGUAUAGGGUAAAAGCCAGAGGAAACUCUGGUGGAGGCUCGCAGCGGUUCUGACGUGCAAAUCGAUCGUCAAAUAAUGGGCAUGGGGGCGAAAGACUAAUCGA
RNAcentral lists this ribosomal RNA (843 nucleotides) under Scedosporium boydii. RNAcentral describes it as "LSU rRNA". It matches the Rfam family "Eukaryotic large subunit ribosomal RNA", at positions 73 to 938 of the family's 3401-position model. The record is from RNAcentral. Lineage: Eukaryota; Fungi; Ascomycota; Sordariomycetes; Microascales; Microascaceae.